RNAcentral lists this ribosomal RNA (2292 nucleotides) under Metschnikowia orientalis. Lineage: Eukaryota; Fungi; Ascomycota; Pichiomycetes; Serinales; Metschnikowiaceae. The record is from RNAcentral.
AAAUUAGAGAACAUGAUGUUGGUUCAGAUCAAAUGCUAUGUAGAGGCAUAACACAUGCAAGUUAUUGAAAAAUAGCGUUUAGGUGAGUGAUAUAAGAUAUAAAAAAUAUCUUAUUCAGAUGUAGGUAUUAGAUAUUAAUCUAGCCAUGGAACUGGAGCCGGCGAUAAACGUCACAACGGCCACAUUGAUAUAUUAUCAACUCUUAUAUAGAGCAGCAGUGGGGAAUCUUUGACAAUGGUCUAACGACUGAUCAAGUUAUCUACGAGAAGGAAAUUAAAUAAAUCCUUAUGGAUAAAAAAUAAUAAAAGAUUAACUAUAAACUUCUAAAUAAUAGUAAUAAUGAUACUAAUUAUGAAAGAGUCCUAACUAAAAUAUGUGCCAGCAGCUGCGGUGUGCGACAAGAAGCUAUUCUUUGCAAUUUGAAAUCAUAAAAUUAUCCCCGCGACGCGGGGAUGAUAGCCCGCUUAUAUAAGCGGGCCAUUUAACAGAUAUUUAUAUCUAUAUUUAUGAUAUUUCAACAAUAUUAGUAACAAAUAUGUACCUAUUUACACAUGCGUUGGGAGUGAUCCCGGGGUGUGAAGCUGUAGAGAAAAAUGUAACCAAAAACUAUGAUCACGUAGUCAAGGAGCUAGGUAAGUUUACUAAGGUUAGCGCAAGUUAACCACUCGACGAGAUCUCUUUAGGCUAAACCUUCAACUGUGAUUGUAAAAAGAAGGGAUUGUCAGGAGUCUGGAUAGAAUCAUCGCAUGUCUAUCCUGUUACAGGCGUUAAAACUGACAGGGAUAAAGAGUGGAACCUAAGGUAAAUGUAGUGUAAAGAAUGGAACUUGGUAAGCCUCAUAUUCACUAUUUAGGAGAGUCCUAUAAUAUACCCGCAAAGCGGGUUAUUAACAAGGCAACUUGUAAAUAGAGGUUAUUUAUAAAAUAGGGUCUCCCAGGCCUUGUGGAAGGAAUAAUAUCGAAUAGGAGGUAGAAGACUUCUUAAAAAGCUAAUGCAAUAAUGUAAUGUUAUUGAUAAGUUAUAUAACUAACCUGAAAGGGUGCAGACUUAAGAUAUGGGUGUUAUAACUAUUAAUUAAAUAUAUUAGAUGUAGUAAACGUUAAUGAUAAUAAUAAAAUAACUUCAUAAAAAGAGGUAUUUUUAUUAACUAUGAAAAAUGUACGUAAAAUAAGGGAGCUAAAACUCUCGGAGUGAAUGGUAUAUAAUUAUUAAAUCACCUAAGGUGAUUAUCCCUUUGGAUGAUAAACCUAUAUUAACGAAUAUAAACUAAUAUAAAAUGAGCCCGGCAUUGCCGGGCUUAUCCCCGCCUUCGGCGGGAAUUAAAAAAGAAAUAAUAAGGCCUGAGCCGUAUGCGAUGAAAGUCGCACGUACGGUUCUAAGGGGGGGAAAGCUCGUGAGAGCCUACCUAUCCUAAUUAGACAUAGAGGGCAAGCAUUGAUCAGAAUGGCUUAAAGGAUCUGUAGAACGAAUUUUUAAAUAAUAAAAAUAUAGAAUAAUAAUCUCGCGAAGCGGGUAAAGGUAAUAAGAAUUAAAGUUAGAGGGAUAAAAUCCGACGAAAACAUUAAGACUAUAAAGAGAUUACUUUAAAUUAUUGACGUUGUGAGAUGAAGGCUACGGUAGCGACAUGGAUUCGAUACCCAUUUAGUCGUAGCAGUAAACUAUGAGUACAAUAAUUAUAAAAAUGAAAAUGAAUAGUACUCCGCCUGACUAGUACGCUCGCAAGGGUGAAAUACAAGACAUUAGACGGUUGUAGUCCCAAGCAGUGGAACAUGUCAUUUAAUUGGAUGAUCCUCCAAGAACCUUACCAUCUCUUGAAUUAUUAACAGGCGUUACAUCGUUGUCGUCAGUUCAUGCCGUGAGGUUUAAUAUUAAGUUAUUGAAUGAACGUAACCCUUUUCUUUAUAGAUAAGUAUAAUUGUAAAAUUAUAGGAAGUAGAGGUAGAAGACUAAUCAUGAUGACCCUAAUGAGAUGGGCUAUCGACGUGUUACAAUAUUAAUAACAAUUUUAUUAACUUUGUUAAUGUAUAUAUAUAUUUUUUCUAUAUAUUUAUUAAAUAUUAAGAAUAAGACAUAGUUUCUAUUAUGGAUUGUAAUCUGAAAUUCGGUUACAUAAAGGAGGAAUUGCUAGUAAUCGUAAACUAGAGAGUUACGGUGAAAUUUUUUGCUACUUCGUACUAACCACUCAUCAACAGCAAGAAAUUUUAUUUCCCUUAUUGAGUUUUUAUUAAAAGGACUUGCUGUAAGUUGAAAUACGGUUCGGUUAGGGGAACCUGAUCGGGAUUUAUAUAUUUA